Molecule: long non-coding RNA, 2936 nt
Organism: Anopheles funestus (African malaria mosquito)
Lineage: Eukaryota; Metazoa; Arthropoda; Insecta; Diptera; Culicidae
Exons: 2
Source: RefSeq, a predicted model, not a curated record
AUUCGGUGCAGGAAUUUGCUAGCAGUAAGCGACCGAUAAUGUGUUGUUUUUUCGUACAUGCGUUAGGGAUCGGUCUUGCAAAUACGCACAAGGAAAGCAUUAGGAAAUGGGCGUAUUUUCUCAUGGUAUGCUGGUAUGGAUCGGUGCAGGAAUUUGCUAGCAGUAAGCGACCAAUAAUGUGUUGUUUUUUCGUCGAUGCGUUGGGGAUCGGUCUUGCAAAUACGCACACGGAAAGCAUUAGGAAAUGGGCGUAUUUUCUCGUGGUAUGCUGGUAUGGAUCGGUGCAGGAAUUUGCUAGCAGUAAGCGACCAAUAAUGUGUUGUUUUUUCGUCGAUGCGCUGGGGAUCGGUCUUGCAAAUAUUUACACGGGAAGCAUUAGGAAAUGGGCGUAUUUUCUCAUGGUAUGCUGGUAUGGAUCGGUGCAGGAAUUUGCUAGCAGUAAGCGACCAAUAAUGUGUUGUUUUUUCGUCGAUGCGUUGGGGAUCGGUCUUGCAAAUACGCACACGGAAAGCAUUAGGAAAUAAGCGUAUUUUCUCGUGGUAUGCUGGCAUAAAUCGGUGCAGGAAUUUGCUAGCAGUAAGCGACCGAUAAUGUGUUGUUUUUUCGUACAUGCGUUAGGGAUCGGUCUUGCAAAUACGCACACGGAUAGCAUUAGGAAAUGGGCGUAUUUUCUCGUGGUAUGCUGGUAUGGAUCGGUGCAGGAAUUUGCUAGCAGUAAGCGACCAAUAAUGUGUUGUUUUUUCGUCGAUGCGUUGGGGAUCGGUCUUGCAAAUACGCACACGGAAAGCAUUAGGAAAUGGGCGUAUUUUCUCGUGGUAUGCUGGUAUGGAUCGGUGCAGGAAUUUGCUAGCAGUAAGCGUCCGAUAAUGUGUUGUUUUUCCGUAGAUGCUUUGGGGAUCGGUCUGGCAAAUACGCACACGGGAAGCAUUAGAAAAUGGGCGUAUUUUCUCGUGGUAUGCUGGCAUAAAUCGGUGCAGGAAUUUGCUAGCAGUAAGCGACCGAUAAUGUGUUGUUUUUCGUACAUGCGUUGGGGAUCGGUCUUGCAAAUACGCACACGGAAAGCAUUAGGAAAUAAGCGUAUUUUCUCGUGGUAUGCUGGCAUAAAUCGGUGCAGGAAUUUGCUAGCAGUAAGCGACCGAUAAUGUGUUGUUUUUUCGUACAUGCGUUAGGGAUCGGUCUUGCAAAUACGCACAAGGAAAGCAUUAGGAAAUGGGCGUAUUUUCUCAUGGUAUGCUGGUAUGGAUCGGUGCAGGAAUUUGCUAGCAGUAAGCGACCAAUAAUGUGUUGUUUUUUCGUCGAUGCGUUGGGGAUCGGUCUUGCAAAUACGCACACGGAAAGCAUUAGGAAAUGGGCGUAUUUUCUCGUGGUAUGCUGGUAUGGAUCGGUGCAGGAAUUUGCUAGCAGUAAGCGACCAAUAAUGUGUUGUUUUUUCGUCGAUGCGCUGGGGAUCGGUCUUGCAAAUAUUUACACGGGAAGCAUUAGGAAAUGGGCGUAUUUUCUCAUGGUAUGCUGGUAUGGAUCGGUGCAGGAAUUUGCUAGCAGUAAGCGACCAAUAAUGUGUUGUUUUUUCGUCGAUGCGUUGGGGAUCGGUCUUGCAAAUACGCACACGGAAAGCAUUAGGAAAUAAGCGUAUUUUCUCGUGGUAUGCUGGCAUAAAUCGGUGCAGGAAUUUGCUAGCAGUAAGCGACCGAUAAUGUGUUGUUUUUUCGUACAUGCGUUAGGGAUCGGUCUUGCAAAUACGCACACGGAUAGCAUUAGGAAAUGGGCGUAUUUUCUCGUGUAAGCUGGCAUAAAUCAGUGUGAAAUUUGCUAGCAGUAAGCGACCGAUAAUGUGUUGUUUUCCGUAGAUGCGUUGGGGAUCGAUCUGGCAAAUACGCACACGGAAAGCAUUAGGAAAUGGGCGUAUUUUCUCGUGGUAUGCUGGCAUAAAUCGGUGCAGCAAAGGUGCAGGCUGGCAUAAAUUGCAAAGGUGAACUUGUGCGCUUUUCGUGUGACCGAUUUUCCUCGACGUGUUUUGUUUGAAAGAAAUGUUUUAUCUUUUGGGGUUUGUUUACAUUAUUACAAACUUCCUCGCCUAGAGCUGGGUGUGGUGUCUGUUAUAGGCAUGGAUUUUGCCGUUAGUAAUACGCUACAAUACGUUGUUUUAAUCAGCAGAAAUUUAAACCUCAGUCGGAGCAAUUAAAUCUAUAUAAAAUAAAUUAUGAAAUUUGGCUUGACGUUUUUUUUUUGAAAGAAAUAUUUAUCUUUAGGGUUUUGUUUACAUUAUUACAAACUUCCUCGCCUAGAGCUGGGUGUUGUUUCUGUUAUGGGCAUGGAUUUUGCCUUUAGUAAAUCGCUACAAUACGUUGUUUUCAUCUGCAGAAAUUUAAACUUCAGUCGGAGCAAUUAAAUCUAUAUAAAAUAAAUCAAAUAAAUUAUGAACUGCAAAAUUUGACAACCGCCUUAAAAUUAAAUGCUUCUGCUUCUCGAUUUUGUAACUACCUUUUCAUGAGUGCCGUAUUGAGCCAAAAUUAUUGGGCGUGUUGUAUGAAACGCUUUACUUGUUUCUGUUUCAAGCGCAUACGCUUGCACACUCUUGGUAACGAUUGGUAACGGUCACCACAAUUAAAAGAAAAGCUAAUAUAAUUAAAUUAAAUGAAAGAACAUUGAAAUAAAUUUUAGCGAAUAUAAUUAAAUUUAAUUCAUUUCAUUGAAUUUGCUGAAAUCUAAUGUUUUUGAAUUUAAUUUCAUGUAAUAUUGUUUACGUUUCGUAUGCGUUACACUCAUUUGACAGUUGAAAUUUAUUAUUCCGAUUAAUGCAUUAUUGUUUUCACCGGGGUAGCGUUACGAACGCAGAGGUUAGUUGUGUUAGUGUAAGGACCGUUAGGGCUAAGAACCAUUGCGAAAAAUCACUGCACUUGUAAUAAAAUACGUACGCCGAACGGUCAAGCGAGAAA